CAAUAGCGUAUAUUAAAGUUGUUGCAGUUAAAAAGCUCGUAGUUGGAUUUCUGGAUGGAGCGACCGGUCGGGCAUUAAUUUGUCUGCACUGGAGUCGGUUCCGUCCAUCCUCUUGGAAAGUGCGUGGGGCAUUAAGUUGUCUGGCGUAUGAUCCAAGUCGUUUGCUGUGAAAAAAUUAGAGUGUUUAAAGCAGGCCUUCGCCUUGAAUACAUUAGCAUGGAAUAAUAAGAUAGGACUUUGGUCUAUUUUGUUGGUUUGCAGACCGAAGUAAUGAUUAAUAGGGAUAGUUGGGGGUAUUUAUAUUCCGAUGUCAGAGGUGAAAUUCUUAGAUUUUCGGAAGAUAAACUUAUGCGAAAGCAUUUACCAAGGAUGUUUNCAUUAA
This 382-nucleotide ribosomal RNA is filed under the name uncultured eukaryote. RNAcentral's name for it is "partial 18S ribosomal RNA". It matches the Rfam family "Eukaryotic small subunit ribosomal RNA", at positions 592 to 976 of the family's 1831-position model. The record is from RNAcentral.